ACGGCCACACCAUGGUGAAUAUACCGGUUCUCGAAGUCAAGCAACAUUGGGCACGGUCAGUACUUGGGUGGGUGACCACCUGGGAACACCGCUUGCCGU
Molecule: non-coding RNA, 99 nt
Organism: Caerostris extrusa
Lineage: Eukaryota; Metazoa; Arthropoda; Arachnida; Araneae; Araneidae
Source: the annotation of a GenBank genome assembly